RNAcentral lists this ribosomal RNA (254 nucleotides) under uncultured bacterium. Its description in RNAcentral is "partial 16S ribosomal RNA". It matches the Rfam family "Bacterial small subunit ribosomal RNA", at positions 524 to 777 of the family's 1533-position model. The record is from RNAcentral.
UACGGAGGGUGCGAGCGUUGUCCGGAAUCACUGGGCGUAAAGGGCGCGUAGGCGGCGCGGGAAGUCCGUGGUGAAAGCCCGAGGCUCAACUUCGGGUCGGCCAUGGAUACUCCUGGGCUCGAGCACUGUAGAGGCAGGUGGAAUUCCGGGUGUAGCGGUGGAAUGCGUAGAGAUCCGGAAGAACACCGGUGGCGAAGGCGGCAUCCUGGACCAAUAUUGACGCUGAGGAGCGAAAGCCAGGGGAGCAAAGCGGG